GUCCACGCAGUAACGAUGAUAACUCGUUGUCGGCGAUACACAGUCGGUGACUAAGCGAAAGCGAUAAGUUAUCCACCUGGGAGUACGUUCGCAAGAAUGAAACUCAAAGGAAUUGACGGGGCCCGCACAAGCGGAGGAACAUGUGGUUUAAUUCGAUGAUACGCGAGGAACCUUACCCGGGCUUGAAAGUUACUGACGAUUCUGGAAACAGGAUUUCCCUUGGGGCAGGAAACUAGGUGCUGCAUGGUUGUCGU
This 254-nucleotide ribosomal RNA is filed under the name uncultured bacterium. RNAcentral describes it as "partial 16S ribosomal RNA". It matches the Rfam family "Bacterial small subunit ribosomal RNA", at positions 793 to 1055 of the family's 1533-position model. The record is from RNAcentral.